GUGCCAGCCGCCGCGGUAAUACGGAGGAUCCAAGCGUUGUCCGGAUUUACUGGGUUUAAAGGGUGCGUAGGUGGACUUUUAAGUCAGUGGUGAAAGCCUGUAGCUUAACUAUAGAAUUGCCAUUGAAACUGAAAGUCUUGAGUACAGUUGAGGUGAGCGGAAUGUAUCAUGUAGCGGUGAAAUGCUUAGAUAUGAUACAGAACACCGAUUGCGAAGGCAGCUCACUAAACUGCAACUGACACUGAGGCACGAAAGCGUGGGGAUCAAACAGGAUUAGAAACCCCCGUAGUCC
This 292-nucleotide ribosomal RNA is filed under the name uncultured bacterium. RNAcentral's name for it is "partial 16S ribosomal RNA". It matches the Rfam family "Bacterial small subunit ribosomal RNA", at positions 505 to 796 of the family's 1533-position model. The record is from RNAcentral.